Molecule: non-coding RNA, 23 nt
Filed under: Cricetulus griseus (Chinese hamster)
Lineage: Eukaryota; Metazoa; Chordata; Mammalia; Rodentia; Cricetidae
Source: RNAcentral
GGCAAACUUGAAGAACAGAAACC